GGAGACGUGGCCGAGUGGUCGAAGGCGGGCGCUUGGAGAGCGUCUGAGUAGCAAUACUCCUAGAGUUCGAAUCUCUACGUCUCCGCCA
RNAcentral lists this transfer RNA (88 nucleotides) under Synergistaceae bacterium. RNAcentral's name for it is "tRNA-Ser". It matches the Rfam family "tRNA". From Rfam's summary of the family: Transfer RNA (tRNA) molecules are approximately 80 nucleotides in length. Lineage: Bacteria; Thermotogati; Synergistota; Synergistia; Synergistales; Synergistaceae. The record is from RNAcentral.